GCAAGUCUGGUGCCAGCAGCCGCGGUAAUUCCAGCUCCAACAGCGUAUAUUAAAGUUGUUGUGGUUAAAAAGCUCGUAGUCGAACCUUGGGCCUGGCUGGCCGGUCCCCCUCACCGGGUGCACUGAUCCAGCCGGGCCUUUCCCUCUGUGGAACCCCAUGGCCUUCACUGGCCGUGCGGGGGAAACAGGACUUUUACUGUGAAAAAAUUAGAGUGCUCCAGGCAGGCCUAUGCUCGAAUACAUUAGCAUGGAAUAAUAGAAUAGGACGUGUGGUUCUAUUUUGUUGGUUUCUAGGACCGCCGUAAUGAUUAAUAGGGAUAGUCGGGGACAUCAGUAUUCAAUUGUCAGAGGUGAAAUUCUUGGAUUUAUUGAAGACUAACUACUGCGAAAGCAUUUGCCAA
This 401-nucleotide ribosomal RNA is filed under the name uncultured fungus. RNAcentral describes it as "SSU rRNA". It matches the Rfam family "Eukaryotic small subunit ribosomal RNA", at positions 555 to 961 of the family's 1831-position model. Lineage: Eukaryota; Fungi. The record is from RNAcentral.